AUAUCUCUCCUCGGCUCUCUGAGCUAGGAUCAUGUGUAGUAUCUGUUCUUUGCAGUGUCAUUUUUGCAACGGUCUCUAAACUGAGACCAAUGAAACUACCUGUAUUUUUCCCUUACGGACGGGUGCUGUGAGCUUGCUCAACCCCGUCCACGGGUCGGCCUCGUAUUGCAUUACCUCGAGGAUUGGCCCAUUAGUG
RNAcentral lists this small nuclear RNA (196 nucleotides) under Trichobilharzia regenti. RNAcentral describes it as "U2 spliceosomal RNA". It matches the Rfam family "U2 spliceosomal RNA". From Rfam's summary of the family: U2 is a small nuclear RNA (snRNA) component of the spliceosome (involved in pre-mRNA splicing). Complementary binding between U2 snRNA (in an area lying towards the 5' end but 3' to hairpin I) and the branchpoint sequence (BPS) of the intron results the bulging out of an unpaired adenosine, on the BPS, which initiates a nucleophilic attack at the intronic 5' splice site, thus starting the first of two transesterification reactions that mediate splicing. Lineage: Eukaryota; Metazoa; Platyhelminthes; Trematoda; Strigeidida; Schistosomatidae. The record is from Rfam by way of RNAcentral.